CAGGGUAUAGCUCAGUGGUAGAGCAUUCGGCUGCAGAUCGAGGGUCUCCGGUUCAAACCGGGUGUUCCUUUCUUCA
Molecule: non-coding RNA, 76 nt
Organism: Trichonephila inaurata madagascariensis
Lineage: Eukaryota; Metazoa; Arthropoda; Arachnida; Araneae; Nephilidae
Source: the annotation of a GenBank genome assembly